RNAcentral lists this ribosomal RNA (440 nucleotides) under uncultured bacterium. RNAcentral's name for it is "partial 16S ribosomal RNA". It matches the Rfam family "Bacterial small subunit ribosomal RNA", at positions 338 to 795 of the family's 1533-position model. The record is from RNAcentral.
CCUACGGGAGGCUGCAGUGGGGAAUAUUGCACAAUGGGGGAAACCCUGAUGCAGCGACGCCGCGUGAGUGAAGAAGUCUUUCGGUAUGUAAAGCUCUAUCAGCAGGGAAGAAAAUGACGGUACCUGCUUAAGAAGCCCCGGCUAACUACGUGCCAGCAGCCGCGGUAAUACGUCGGGGGCAAGCGUUGUCCGGAUUUAGUGGGUGUAAAGGGGGCGUAGGCGGCAGGACAAGUCUGGAGUGAAAUGCCGGGGCUUAACCGCGGAACUGUAUUGGAAACUGGGGAGCUAGAGUGCGGGAGAGGGAAGUGGAAUUCCUGGUGUAGCGGUGAAAUGCGUAGAUAUUAGGAGGAACACCAGUGGCGAAGGCGGCUUACUGGGCUGUAACUGACGUUGAGGCUCGAAAGCGUGGGGAGCAAACGGGAUUAGAUACCCCGGUAGUC